GGAAUAUUUAUUUAACUGUGGAAAAUUGCAAGUCAACCAAGUCCCAAAUAAAAAUUAAAUCAAGUCCUCCCAUCACCCUCAUCAAUUCCAGAUCACAAGUUAGGGUUUUGUCAUCUUUUUAUUCACUUAUUAAACUGCUCAUUAUAAUAUGUGGCUUGCACUUAGCCAUGGUCAAAGGAAGGAUCUUUCUUAAAUACCGCAAGUGCAAUUCUCUCCCCUCCUUGUCGUCCCUUUUUGCCAGUUUAAUUAUGGAGAUAUAAGAAAAAUAUCCUGUAACCUUGCAUUACCCUUUCAAAAGCUCUCAAGAGUUCUUUGUUUUCAUGGUGCCAACCAGGGACAAGACGACUCUCUUGAUUUUAGGGUUUGGGUUUCGCUGGAGCUGAAGGUACCUUGAAAACAUCCGUGCAAUAUUUUAAAGCUUGGAAAUUAUGAAAUGGACGCCUUCUCACCGCUCUUUGUAUUAAAUUACUAUAUCCGGGGAACAUGUGCUUAAAAGGGCUGCAGUAAAUACAUUUAGGAGCUAAGAAAGAAGCUGGCAACUAUAGAAGAACAGCCCUAAGCCCAAAAAUCUUGCUUUACCAUGGCCUCAUUUUCAAAGUCAUCAAAGGUAAGUGAAUCUCCCAAGCAUACAUAGAAGCUAAUAUCCAUGCACACAUAAUGCCUGCUAAGGGUGUAGAAUUAGGCUAUGAGAUUUAUCAUACAAGACUCCAAGUUUCAUGUCAGAGUGCUUGCAGAAGGAUUUUUGAGGUACAGUUGAAUUCAGGCUUUGUAAGUAGUUUCUGAGGUUGUUUUUCUUCUUGUUUUUCCUGGGCUUUGUAUCCCGUCCAUAACAAUAAAACAGAAAGGUUGAAACUUGAAAACGGGCACACCUUCAACAAGGAAGCUUGAAGCGGCCAGUUCUGCA
Molecule: long non-coding RNA, 904 nt
Organism: Populus nigra (black poplar)
Lineage: Eukaryota; Viridiplantae; Streptophyta; Magnoliopsida; Malpighiales; Salicaceae
Exons: 2
Source: RefSeq, a predicted model, not a curated record